RNAcentral lists this unclassified non-coding RNA (186 nucleotides) under uncultured fungus. RNAcentral describes it as "sequence contains ITS1". The record is from RNAcentral. Lineage: Eukaryota; Fungi.
UUAACUAUUUGCUUUUACUUCAGGCUGCAAAGUUGCUUCAGGGUUUUGUGUUCGGCCGGAGGCCCCCCGAUUCAACGGGGGCGCCUCCUAGAGCCGAAUGGCUUGCGUGACGCAAAAGGGUGGGGGGUGAGCGCCGGAGCGCUCGGUUACCCAGUAAUGAUCCUUCCGCAGGUUCACCUACGGAAA